This 931-nucleotide long non-coding RNA is filed under the name Salvator merianae (Argentine black and white tegu). Its description in RNAcentral is "lncRNA (ENSSMRG00000013788.1)". The record is from RNAcentral. Lineage: Eukaryota; Metazoa; Chordata; Lepidosauria; Squamata; Teiidae.
AGUUUAACUUUAAUAUUUUGUUAGGAAGCGUUCUGUCAUGCUUCCUAGCCUUCCGCAUAUUGGAGCAACAUCUCAAUAAUAAAUGUUGUAAGUGGUCAGAUUGAUAGAAAGAAGACAGUUACUGUGUUGAAGUAAUAGUAUAAGUUGGUUGACAAUUAUUUUCAGGAAAAGGUGUAGCUGCACAGGUGUGCAGAGGCACUGCUACACAGCAGCUUGUUGAAUAUUCAAGAGUGACCCUUGGUUUUUUUCAUAGUUUCCUCAGUCGGGUUGUAUCUGUAUUUAAAACAGAUUUGAGUUAUCAGUCCUGUUUAUCUCUAGAUCAGUUUCUAGCUCAUUUGCUAGAACACAUACAGUUAUAACUCUCCUCAGCCCAAGUGACAUGGCCAGUGGACAAGGGCAAUGGGAACUGUAAUACAGAUCACCAGGAAAACAAUACUUUGGCUGUCCCUACCCUAAACCUUUUCAGGAAAGAGCAGGGUAAAAAUGUAACACAUCAAUUGUUGUUGGAUUAAAUUCUUAACGUGCUUAAACUUUUAAUUUUCAGAAACCACAGAACCCAAAUUUGGCUCAGAUAAUAAAAGUUUGUCAACAGUUAAUUAAAAGCAUGGAUAAGAAAAGUAGCAUUAUCAGAACUGAACCUAAAACCAGUUUACAACAGAAUAAAUCAGACUGUCAAGCUGAAGAUGUCAGUGACUCCCUUCUCAAGCCUUUGUUCCGAGUCCAGUCCUUCCCUCAUGCCGUCCAUCGCUCACCUGGCUCCUUUCCAAAGUGCUCCCAGAGGACUUCUCACUUGGUCUUUAAACAGAUCUUCAACAUAAUGAGCUAAAAGGCAUCAAAGCGUUUGAAAAAUGUAAGAGCAAGGUACGUAGGUGAAAACUUUAAUUUGUAUAUUAUAUGGCUGAAAUAAACCCUAACAUUACUCAGUGUUUCA